This 324-nucleotide ribosomal RNA is filed under the name uncultured eukaryote. RNAcentral describes it as "partial 18S ribosomal RNA". It matches the Rfam family "Eukaryotic small subunit ribosomal RNA", at positions 1470 to 1796 of the family's 1831-position model. The record is from RNAcentral.
CCCUUAGAUGUUCUGGGCCGCACGCGCGCUACACUGAUGCAUUCAACGAGUUUCUUCCUGGUCCGAGAGGAAUGGGUAACCUUUUGAAAGUGCAUCGUGAUAGGGAUAGACUAUUGCAAUUAUUGGUCUUCAACGAGGAAUUCCUAGUAGACGUAGUUCAUCAGACUGCAUCGAUUACGUCCCUGCCCUUUGUACACACCGCCCGUCGCUCCUACCGAUUGAAUGGUCAGGUGAGCCAUUCGGACUUUCAUCAUGCUGGUUUCCAGUUUUGAUGAAGGAAAGUCUUGCGAACCUUAUCAUUUAGAGGAAGGAGAAGUCGUAACA